This 467-nucleotide ribosomal RNA is filed under the name Escherichia coli. RNAcentral's name for it is "bacterial SSU rRNA". It matches the Rfam family "Bacterial small subunit ribosomal RNA", at positions 201 to 648 of the family's 1533-position model. The record is from RNAcentral. Lineage: Bacteria; Pseudomonadati; Pseudomonadota; Gammaproteobacteria; Enterobacterales; Enterobacteriaceae.
AGAAAGCAGGGGAUCUUCGGACCUUGCGCUAAUAGAUGAGCCUAAGUCGGAUUAGCUAGUUGGUGGGGUAAAGGCCUACCAAGGCGACGAUCUGUAGCGGGUCUGAGAGGAUGAUCCGCCACACUGGGACUGAGACACGGCCCAGACUCCUACGGGAGGCAGCAGUGGGGAAUAUUGGACAAUGGGGGGAACCCUGAUCCAGCCAUGCCGCGUGUGUGAAGAAGGCCUUAUGGUUGUAAAGCACUUUAAGCGAGGAGGAGGCUACUUUAGUUAAUACCUAGAGAUAGUGGACGUUACUCGCAGAAUAAGCACCGGCUAACUCUGUGCCAGCAGCCGCGGUAAUACAGAGGGUGCGAGCGUUAAUCGGAUUUACUGGGCGUAAAGCGUGCGUAGGCGGCUUAUUAAGUCGGAUGUGAAAUCCCCGAGCUUAACUUGGGAAUUGCAUUCGAUACUGGUGAGCUAGAGUA